CAUUAAUGAAAAAAUGGGUUGUUGCUGGCCCUACGGGGCAAGUGCACGCCCUUGUCCAUAAUUUUACACCUGUGCACCACCUGUAGCUUGGGUUUGAUGAAAGCCCUUGCUAUGAUUUUUACAAACAAAAACAAGUUUAUAGAAUGUACAAACAAAAAAAUAAAUACAACUUUCAGCAACGGAUCUCUUGGCUCUCGCAUCGAUGAAAAACGCAGCGAAAUGCGAUAAGUAAUGUGAAUUGCAGAAUUCAGUGAAUCAUCGAAUCUUUGAACGCACCUUGCGCUCCUUGGUAUUCCGAGGAGCAUGCCUGUUUGAGUGUCAUGAAAUUCUCAACUGCUUCGUAUUUGAAGUGAAGUUGGACUUUGGAGGGUUUGCUGGCUUUGUCGGCUCCUCUUGAAUGAAUGAAAGUAUCAGACCGAUGUGAUAACUAAUCUACGUUGGAAUGUGAAAACACCCAGGAGGAUGUUAUAAAAAUUUGACCUCAAAUCAUGUAGGACUACCCGCUGAACUUAAGCAUAUCAAUAAGCGGAGGAAGUAUUUUUUUUGUCUGGCAUGGCAUGUUAUUUCCUUUGCUAACCUAUCCAAAGGCGUAUUCUUGCUUGUCUCUGC
This 609-nucleotide ribosomal RNA is filed under the name uncultured Hydnellum. Its description in RNAcentral is "eukaryotic LSU rRNA". The stretch from base 168 to 321 matches the Rfam family "5.8S ribosomal RNA". Lineage: Eukaryota; Fungi; Basidiomycota; Agaricomycetes; Thelephorales; Thelephoraceae. The record is from RNAcentral.